AAUAAAUGCAGUUUUAUACUGUGCAUGUCCAACGUUUAAUCGCUCGUCUUAUUUGAAAUUUUUUUAUGUUUAGUAUUUUUAUUGUUAUUAGAUGAUAAAACACGAAUAAUAUAUAUUUUAUGUGUGACUAAUAUUUUUUUUGUUUUUUCAUAAAUUUUUUUAAAUAAGACGGACGGUCUAACGUUAGACACGGAUAUCCACGGCUGUACUUCAU
MicroRNA precursor from Oryza sativa Indica Group (long-grained rice), 214 nucleotides. It matches the Rfam family "MIR812 microRNA precursor family". Lineage: Eukaryota; Viridiplantae; Streptophyta; Magnoliopsida; Poales; Poaceae. The record is from Rfam.